Molecule: ribosomal RNA, 277 nt
Filed under: uncultured bacterium
Lineage: Bacteria
Description: partial 16S ribosomal RNA
Rfam family: Bacterial small subunit ribosomal RNA
Source: RNAcentral
CCGUUGCCGGCGACCGGCGCACGGGUGAGUAACACGUAUGCAACCUGCCCGUGGCAGGGGGAUAAGCCGGGGGAAACCCCGUCUAAUACCGCGUAACGCGGCCUUGGGGCAUCCCAAGGCCGCCAAAGGGAGCAAUCCCGGCCACGGAUGGGCAUGCGGCGCAUUAGCUAGUCGGCGGGGUAACGGCCCACCGAGGCGACGAUGCGUAGGGGUUCUGAGAGGAAGGCCCCCCACACUGGUACUGAGACACGGACCAGACUCCUACGGAAGGCAGCAG